This 1293-nucleotide ribosomal RNA is filed under the name Escherichia coli. RNAcentral's name for it is "partial 23S ribosomal RNA". It matches the Rfam family "Bacterial large subunit ribosomal RNA", at positions 1527 to 2801 of the family's 2925-position model. Lineage: Bacteria; Pseudomonadati; Pseudomonadota; Gammaproteobacteria; Enterobacterales; Enterobacteriaceae. The record is from RNAcentral.
GUUUUCCAGGCAAAUCCGGAAAAUCAAGGCUGAGGCGUGAUGACGAGGCACUACGGUGCUGAAGCAACAAAUGCCCUGCUUCCAGGAAAAGCCUCUAAGCAUCAGGUAACAUCAAAUCGUACCCCAAACCGACACAGGUGGUCAGGUAGAGAAUACCAAGGCGCUUGAGAGAACUCGGGUGAAGGAACUAGGCAAAAUGGUGCCGUAACUUCGGGAGAAGGCACGCUGAUAUGUAGGUGAAGCGACUUGCUCGUGGAGCUGAAAUCAGUCGAAGAUACCAGCUGGCUGCAACUGUUUAUUAAAAACACAGCACUGUGCAAACACGAAAGUGGACGUAUACGGUGUGACGCCUGCCCGGUGCCGGAAGGUUAAUUGAUGGGGUUAGCGCAAGCGAAGCUCUUGAUCGAAGCCCCGGUAAACGGCGGCCGUAACUAUAACGGUCCUAAGGUAGCGAAAUUCCUUGUCGGGUAAGUUCCGACCUGCACGAAUGGCGUAAUGAUGGCCAGGCUGUCUCCACCCGAGACUCAGUGAAAUUGAACUCGCUGUGAAGAUGCAGUGUACCCGCGGCAAGACGGAAAGACCCCGUGAACCUUUACUAUAGCUUGACACUGAACAUUGAGCCUUGAUGUGUAGGAUAGGUGGGAGGCUUUGAAGUGUGGACGCCAGUCUGCAUGGAGCCGACCUUGAAAUACCACCCUUUAAUGUUUGAUGUUCUAACGUUGGCCCGUUAUCCGGGUUGCGGACAGUGUCUGGUGGGUAGUUUGACUGGGGCGGUCUCCUCCUAAAGAGUAACGGAGGAGCACGAAGGUUGGCUAAUCCUGGUCGGACAUCAGGAGGUUAGUGCAAUGGCAUAAGCCAGCUUGACUGCGAGCGUGACGGCGCGAGCAGGUGCGAAAGCAGGUCAUAGUGAUCCGGUGGUUCUGAAUGGAAGGGCCAUCGCUCAACGGAUAAAAGGUACUCCGGGGAUAACAGGCUGAUACCGCCCAAGAGUUCAUAUCGACGGCGGUGUUUGGCACCUCGAUGUCGGCUCAUCACAUCCUGGGGCUGAAGUAGGUCCCAAGGGUAUGGCUGUUCGCCAUUUAAAGUGGUACGCGAGCUGGGUUUAGAACGUCGUGAGACAGUUCGGUCCCUAUCUGCCGUGGGCGCUGGAGAACUGAGGGGGGCUGCUCCUAGUACGAGAGGACCGGAGUGGACGCAUCACUGGUGUUCGGGUUGUCAUGCCAAUGGCACUGCCCGGUAGCUAAAUGCGGAAGAGAUAAGUGCUGAAAGCAUCUAAGCACGAAACUUGCCCCG